CCUACGGGAGGCAGCAGUGGGGAAUAUUGGACAAUGGGGGCAACCCUGAUCCAGCCAUGCCGCGUGUGUGAAGAAGGCCCUCGGGUUGUAAAGCACUUUCAGUGAGGAAGAACGCCUGGUGGUUAAUACCCAUCAGGAAAGACAUCACUCACAGAAGAAGCACCGGCUAACUCCGUGCCAGCAGCCGCGGUAAUACGGAGGGUGCGAGCGUUAAUCGGAAUUACUGGGCGUAAAGCGCGCGUAGGUGGCUUGAUAAGCCGGUUGUGAAAGCCCCGGGCUCAACCUGGGAACGGCAUCCGGAACUGUCAAGCUAGAGUGCAGGAGAGGAAGGUAGAAUUCCAGGUGUAGCGGUGAAAUGCGUAGAGAUCGGGAGGAAUACCAGUGGCGAAGGCGGCCUUCUGGACUGACACUGACACUGAGGUGCGAAAGCGUGGGUAGCAAACAGGAUUAGAUACCCCGGUAGUC
This 465-nucleotide ribosomal RNA is filed under the name Vreelandella stevensii. RNAcentral's name for it is "partial 16S ribosomal RNA". It matches the Rfam family "Bacterial small subunit ribosomal RNA", at positions 338 to 795 of the family's 1533-position model. Lineage: Bacteria; Pseudomonadati; Pseudomonadota; Gammaproteobacteria; Oceanospirillales; Halomonadaceae. The record is from RNAcentral.